This 1014-nucleotide long non-coding RNA is filed under the name Heterocephalus glaber (naked mole-rat). Its description in RNAcentral is "lncRNA (ENSHGLG00100044200.1)". The record is from RNAcentral. Lineage: Eukaryota; Metazoa; Chordata; Mammalia; Rodentia; Bathyergidae.
GACUAUGACGUCACGCGUCCCCACGUCUAUAUUCAGCAAUGGGCGGGGCUCCAAGUGUCCACGCUCUGAGGAGAGUUGGCGACAGGUCCUAGGCCGUGAGUUAACACUGGGGAUUUGGACCCAGGACUUUGUCCUGUGUGACAGCCAAGCACUCUACUACUGAGCUACACUCCCUGCCCAACCUCAAGUACUUCGUUAAUGUCUUCAGAAGCUUCCUGCUAUUUGGCUUCUGAUGCUCACACUUAAAGGAUGAAGUGCUAUCCUAAAGCAGAAAACAGCAAGAACAACAGCAAAACAACCAAAGAUUGGCCUGCUUUGGAAUAUCAAAUACCUCCUCUUUGGAGGGGAAGGAAGAUGAAAGCAAUGACAUCCACACUCCCCCAGAGCAUCUCCCCAGCACAGCCUGAGCUCUUGCAAUGGGGUUUUGUCGGGAGAGCUCAUCACCUGGAGUGGUCAGGGAGGGCUCAGUCACUGUGCGGUCACUGGGGGAGAAGACCUCGUGGCUUCAGCCUAGCCUGCUGAGGAAGCUCUUGGAGUCAGGGUGUCAGAGGGCUGAGACCCCACAGGAAGUGCAGAGCCGGAUGGGAAGGAGAGGUGACCACAUCCUGCAUUUCUCUGUGGUUCCCCCAGGAACCAGUAACACAGCCUGGAGGCUCAGCAGAGGAAAACCAAGAAGCCAAAUGAAAACCACAAUGAAAUACUCCUUCAUAUCCGCCAGCAUUGCUAUCAUGAAAAGAAAGAUAAUAACAAGUGCUGGUGAAGAUGUGGGGAAAUAGGAGCCCUCAGGCACUGUUGGUGGAUAGCUGCUUUGCACAGUAAUCUAGCAUUCCCAAAAGGUUAAAUAGAGACUUGUCUUUCAACACAGCAAUUCCACUUUUAGGUGCAUACCCAAAAGAAAUGGAAAUUUUGGUCCACAUGAAAACCUGUCCCUUAAUGUUUGGAGCAGCAUUAGGCAUAAUGACCAAAAAAUGAAAAGUACCCAACAGUUCUGCUGUUAAGAUUGAGAAGUUUUUG